RNAcentral lists this long non-coding RNA (403 nucleotides) under Chrysolophus pictus (golden pheasant). RNAcentral's name for it is "lncRNA (ENSCPIG00010007980.1)". The record is from RNAcentral. Lineage: Eukaryota; Metazoa; Chordata; Aves; Galliformes; Phasianidae.
CGCCAUUACUAAAAUCUCUCUCUCCAUCUGCUUUUCUUCACAAACUGGUCAGACUUUGCCUGGAUGCGUGCAUGAAUAGAGCACCAUAACGUAGCACCAAGCGGAUUUAUCUCAGACUGUACAUCUUUUGGUCCUCUGCCAUCUGCAAAGUGGUAGUGAGAAACGUGACAUCAAAAUACAGGCUGAUGCUUUUGUUUCUGAACACCAAGGACACAAAAGAAUGGAGGAAACUGAAUUGCUGAAGGAGAGACUCCAGGCCAUAACAGAAAAAUGAAUAUUAAUAGAAACACUUAAAGAUUUUAAUUACAGUAUUUCUGCUGUCUUAUGCCACUAGACACACACGUCCAUACCUCCAGGUAAGACCUCUCAAUAACCAAGCACCACUUCUGGAAAGCGGCAUGAA